UACAGAGGUGGCAAGCGUUGUUCGGAAUUACUGGGCGUAAAGGGCGCGUAGGCGGCCAUCUAAGUCAGACGUGAAAUCCCCCGGCUUAACCUGGGAACUGCGUCUGAUACUGGAAGGCUCGAGUUUGGGAGAGGGAUGCAGAAUUCCAGGUGUAGCGGUGAAAUGCGUAGAUAUCUGGAGGAAUACCGGUGGCGAAGGCGGCAUCCUGGACUAACACUGACGCUGAGGCGCGAAAGCUAGGGGAGCAAACGGG
RNAcentral lists this ribosomal RNA (253 nucleotides) under uncultured bacterium. Its description in RNAcentral is "partial 16S ribosomal RNA". It matches the Rfam family "Bacterial small subunit ribosomal RNA", at positions 524 to 776 of the family's 1533-position model. The record is from RNAcentral.